CUCUAGUACAUAAAAGGGUAUAUAUUUUAAGGAAUAUAUAAAUUAAGUAUUAGUAUUAAAGGAACUUUGUCCAUCCAGUAUGGUAAAUAUAUUUAAAAAUGCACUUACUAGUAAAAUUAUAUAAUUUGAAAGUGAGUGCAUUUU
The submitters of this non-coding RNA (144 nucleotides) gave its source as unclassified sequences. The record is from Rfam.